GGUGAGGUGGGUGAGUGGCUGAAACCACUGGUUUGCUAAACCAGCGUACGGGUAACACUGUACCGGGGGUUCGAAUCCCCCCCUCACCG
This is a transfer RNA of Tangfeifania diversioriginum, 89 nucleotides long. It matches the Rfam family "tRNA". Rfam says of the family: Transfer RNA (tRNA) molecules are approximately 80 nucleotides in length. Their secondary structure includes four short double-helical elements and three loops (D, anti-codon, and T loops). The record is from Rfam. Lineage: Bacteria; Pseudomonadati; Bacteroidota; Bacteroidia; Marinilabiliales; Prolixibacteraceae.